UACGUAGGGACCGAGCGUUGUCCGGAAUCAUUGGGCGUAAAGAGCGUGUAGGCGGCCACUUAAGUCCUGCGUGAAAUCUUGCGGCUCAACCGCAAGCGGUCGUGGGAAACUGGGUGGCUAGAGUGCGGGAGAGGAGAGUGGAAUUCCUGGUGUAGCGGUGGAAUGCGCAGAUAUCAGGAAGAACACCGGUGGCGAAGGCGGGUCUCUGGGCAGUAACUGACGCUGAGGAGCGAAAGCGUGGGGAGCGAACAGG
RNAcentral lists this ribosomal RNA (253 nucleotides) under uncultured bacterium. Its description in RNAcentral is "partial 16S ribosomal RNA". It matches the Rfam family "Bacterial small subunit ribosomal RNA", at positions 524 to 776 of the family's 1533-position model. The record is from RNAcentral.